CUCGAAUUUUCCAUGCUUUCUCUGCGUGCAAGCCAAACGCAUCGAUCGUUUUGUACGGGAAGUAAUAAUUUCUCUCCCUCUUUCCGCUCUCUCCUUAUCUCUUUCUCUCUCCCUCCUAGUUUUUUUUUUUCCUUAAAAAUUUUUGCUAGAGGGAGACGGGGGCUCAGUUUUUCUCUCGGGCUUUGCAUGAGCCUCUUCUUAGUCUUCUAUAUAUACCCGUGGAGUCUUCCAAGAGAUUUUGUUUGCAUGGAUGGAGAUUUCUAAUGGAGACCACCAGGUCAUGGCAACGCUUCCUUAGAAAAGUUCUUGCUGGGUGCCCCAAGACACACAGCAGCAGCAGCAGCAGCAGAAGAGGAAGCCAAGGCCUCAGCCAGAGCAAAACCUCAAGUGCCCAGAUGUGACCCACAACACCAAGUUCUGCUACUACAACAACUACAGCCUCUCCACCCAGAUACUUCUGUAAGGGUCAGGAGGUACUGGACCAAAGAGGCUCCUUAGAAAUGUCCAGUUUGGGUGGCUGCAGGAAGAACAAGCGGUCCUCCUCCUCUACAUCAAAGAGGGCCCAAGAUCAGCCCUCGCAACCAACUCCAAGCCACCACUACCCACUCUCCUCCCACCUCCCCUUUCUAUGACCCAGCGACCUCUCCUUAGCCUUUGCCAGGCCUCCACAAGCCACCCACCGCAUGCCAGUUAGGCUGGAUGACCAUGACCCGUUUCUUCUAGGAAACCCUAAACACCAACCCUGGUCAUAUCCCAGCAGCACUCCAGGUUUCCUUGACAUUCUGAGGGUGGACUCCUUGACGCCGCAACCACCACCAGUGGCUUCCACAAUCUCUACUAUGGCUUUGGGGGUCAUGGUAGUGUGGAGCAGGUAGAGGAUAGUGUUGCUGGGGAGGAGGCCGUGCUGCCUUUGAUGCAGGUCUAAGUGGUGCAACCACAACGACAACUUCAAGCACUCCAACAGCUAGCCAAGGGUCUUGCAGAGCUGCGGAUGGAGGGGAGAGCAAGGUGUUUAUGGGUCUGCAAUGGCAGGUUGGUGCGGAAGGCAACAUGGCAGCUAUGGACCCUGGAAGAGACUACUGGAAUGGAGGCGGUUCCUCUUGGCCUGGUCUCAUCAACAGCUCCCUGAUGUAGAGAGGUAAACAUAGAUUGAUAGGUAGGCAGUUAUUUUCUCCUUCAAAAUGGCAGUGUCUUAGUAGCCAUAUUUGGAAACAUUCUAGUUCCAUCUUCAUCCCUUUGUAUCGGUUUUUAUGUUUUGUUUUCUUUCUUUGUUGUUAUUUCCUUUGGUUUUUCCGUUGGGCUUUCCUUUUGAGUGGGUUAUUGGGCAAUUCUAUACUAAAACAUCAAGAUUGUUUUCCAACCAAGGAAUGGAUGGGGGCGAUGGAAUGGUG
Phoenix dactylifera (date palm) is the source of this 1391-nucleotide non-coding RNA. Lineage: Eukaryota; Viridiplantae; Streptophyta; Magnoliopsida; Arecales; Arecaceae. The record is from RefSeq and is a predicted model, not a curated record.